UAACAAGGAUUCCCCUAGUAACUGCGAGUGAAGCGGGAAAAGCUCAAAUUUAAAAUCUGGCGGUUUUGUCGCCCGAGUUGUAAUCUGGAGAAGCGUUUUCCGUGCCGGACCGUGUACAAGUUUCUUGGAACAGAGCGUCAUAGAGGGUGAGAAUCCCGUCCAUGACACGGACUCCCGGUGCUUUGUGAUACGCUCUCGAAGAGUCGAGUUGUUUGGGAAUGCAGCUCAAAAUGGGUGGUAAGCUCCAUCUAAAGCUAAAUAUUGGCGAGAGACCGAUAGCGAACAAGUACCGUGAGGGAAAGAUGAAAAGCACUUUGGAAAGAGAGUUAAACAGUACGUGAAAUUGUUGAAAGGGAAACGCUUGAAGUCANGUCGCGUCUUAUUUGACUCAGCCUUGCUUCGGCUUGGUGUAUUUCAAGUAGGAUGGGUCAACAUCGAUUUUGGCCGGUGGACAAGGGGUUAAGGAAUGUGGCACUCUUUGGAGUGUGUUAUAGCCUUUUCUCAUAUACAUCGGUUGGGAUUGAGGCCCGCAGCGCGCCCUUGUGGCCGGAGGUUCGCCUCACGUAACGCGCUUAGGAUGUUGGCAUAAUGGCUUUAAGCGACCCGUCUUGAAACACGGACCAAGGAGUCUAACAUGCUCGCGAGUGUUAGGGUGGAAAACCCUUGCGCGUAAUGAAAGUGAAAGUUGAGAACCUCCGCAAGGGGGUGCAUCGACGCCCGGCCCUGAAGUUUACUGACGGUGCUGCGGUAGAGCGCGUAUGUUGGGACCCGAAAGAUGGUGAACUAUGCCUGAAUAGGGCGAAGCCAGAGGAAACUCUGGUGGAGGCUCGUAGCGAUUCUGACGUGCAAAUCGAUCGUCAAAUUUGGG
Molecule: ribosomal RNA, 868 nt
Filed under: Fuscoporia montana
Lineage: Eukaryota; Fungi; Basidiomycota; Agaricomycetes; Hymenochaetales; Hymenochaetaceae
Description: eukaryotic LSU rRNA
Rfam family: Eukaryotic large subunit ribosomal RNA
Source: RNAcentral